GAUGAAGAACGCAGCGAAAUGCGAUAAGUAGUGUGAAUUGCAGAAUUCAGUGAAUCAUCGAAUCUUUGAACGCACAUUGCGCCCAUAGGUAUUCCAAUGGGCAUGCCUGUUCGAGCGUCAUUUGUACCCUCAAGCUUUGCUUGGUGUUGGGCGUUUGUCUUUCGAGACUCGCCUUAAAAAGAUUGGCAGCCGGCAUACUGGUUUCGGAGCGCAGCACAAAUUGCGGUCUGUUCCUGAAUGUUGACGUCCAUGAAGCCCCCAUUAUCACUUUUGACCUCGGAUCAGGUAGGGAUACCCGCUGAACUUAAGCAUAUCAAUAAGCGGAGGA
This 328-nucleotide unclassified non-coding RNA is filed under the name soil metagenome. RNAcentral describes it as "partial contains 5.8S ribosomal RNA, internal transcribed spacer 2, and large subunit ribosomal RNA". The stretch from base 1 to 120 matches the Rfam family "5.8S ribosomal RNA", at positions 35 to 154 of the family's 154-position model. The record is from RNAcentral.